This 272-nucleotide ribosomal RNA is filed under the name uncultured bacterium. RNAcentral describes it as "partial 16S ribosomal RNA". It matches the Rfam family "Bacterial small subunit ribosomal RNA", at positions 524 to 794 of the family's 1533-position model. The record is from RNAcentral.
UACGUAGGGUGCAAGCGUUAAUCGGAAUUACUGGGCGUAAAGCGUGCGCAGGCGGUUAUAUAAGACAGAUGUGAAAUCCCCGGGCUCAACCUGGGAACUGCAUUUGUGACUGUAUAGCUAGAGUACGGUAGAGGGGGGUGGAAUUCCGCGUGUAGCAGUGAAAUGCGUAGAUAUGCGGAGGAACACCGAUGGCGAAGGCAAUCCCCUGGACCUGUACUGACGCUCAUGCACGAAAGCGUGGGGAGCAAACAGGAUUAGAUACCCCCGGUAGU